UACACUCCUGCGGGAGGCAGCAGUGGGGAAUUUUGGACAAUGGGCGAAAGCCUGAUCCAGCAAUGCCGCGUGCAGGAUGAAGGCCUUCGGGUUGUAAACUGCUUUUGUACGGAACGAAAAAGCUCCUUCUAAUACAGGGGGCCCAUGACGGUACCGUAAGAAUAAGCACCGGCUAACUACGUGCCAGCAGCCGCGGUAAUACGUAGGGUGCGAGCGUUAAUCGGAAUUACUGGGCGUAAAGCGUGCGCAGGCGGUUAUGUAAGACAGAUGUGAAAUCCCCGGGCUCAACCUGGGAACUGCAUUUGUGACUGCAUGGCUAGAGUACGGUAGAGGGGGAUGGAAUUCCGCGUGUAGCAGUGAAAUGCGUAGAUAUGCGGAGGAACACCGAUGGCGAAGGCAAUCCCCUGGACCUGUACUGACGCUCAUGCACGAAAGCGUGGGGAGCAAACAGGAUUAGAAACCCGAGUAGUCCCAUGAU
RNAcentral lists this ribosomal RNA (478 nucleotides) under uncultured organism. RNAcentral's name for it is "partial 16S ribosomal RNA". It matches the Rfam family "Bacterial small subunit ribosomal RNA", at positions 332 to 801 of the family's 1533-position model. The record is from RNAcentral.